AGUAUGCAGUUCCAUUUAUCAUAAACCAACAGAAUUUAAAAGUGAAACAUUUUUAUCAGGUGCAAGUACAGAAUAUUUAAAAAAUCCUCUUAAUUUACAGAAUAUUCAUAAAAUAUCCUCUUAAAAAGAUAACUCGGAGUCUGGAUAGAUUAUGCCAAUAAUAUUGGCAAGAGAAAUAUUGAUCAUAUCAAAUCUUUCUCUCACUCCACAAGGACCACAAAUAUGGUCCUAAGGGUAAACUUUCAGUGCUUUGGACAGCUUUAUGAGAUACCUAUACCCCCAAGCAAGAACUUGUACUGAAAUGGAGCAUCCAUACAUUUACAAGACUAUAGUUCAUGCCUCAAUCAGUAAGAGCAAAGCCAAAUAAUAUUGGUGCCAACAGAUCAAAUUGUUAAACCAAUUGAUCACACAGAAUCCUUCGCUGACACCCAUACCCUGGAUUAUAUAUCUCCAACACAAAAGUCAACACACACAGCUUGACUCAUAAAACAUACAAUGUGCACAGAUGCACUGAAUGACUAAUUUCUCUAAAACGGACACACCUCAUGAAAAUAAGAGAAUACUUAAUUUAUUCAAGAUUGAACAAAAUUUACAUACUUCUGUGACUCAAUGAUUGGCAAA
RNAcentral lists this unclassified non-coding RNA (621 nucleotides) under Hevea brasiliensis (rubber tree). Lineage: Eukaryota; Viridiplantae; Streptophyta; Magnoliopsida; Malpighiales; Euphorbiaceae. The record is from RNAcentral.